This 467-nucleotide ribosomal RNA is filed under the name uncultured bacterium. Its description in RNAcentral is "partial 16S ribosomal RNA". It matches the Rfam family "Bacterial small subunit ribosomal RNA", at positions 28 to 506 of the family's 1533-position model. The record is from RNAcentral.
GACGAACGCUGGCGGCGUGCUUAACACAUGCAAGUCGAACGGAAAGGCCCUGCUUUUGUGGGGUGCUCGAGUGGCGAACGGGUGAGUAACACGUGAGUAACCUGCCCUUGACUUUGGGAUAACUUCAGGAAACUGGGGCUAAUACCGGAUAGGAGCUCCUGCUGCAUGGUGGGGGUUGGAAAGUUUCGGCGGUUGGGGAUGGACUCGCGGCUUAUCAGCUUGUUGGUGGGGUAGUGGAUUACCAAGGCUUUGACGGGUAGCCGGCCUGAGAGGGUGACCGGCAACAUGGGGACUGAGAUACGGCCCAGACUCCUACGGGAGGAAGAAGUGGGGAAUAUGGCACAAUGGGCGGAAGCCUGAGGCAGCAACGCCGCGUGCGGGAUGACGGCCUUCGGGUUGUAAACCGCUUUCGCCUGUGACGAAGCGUGAGUGACGGUAAUGGGUAAAGAAGCACCGGCUAACUACGU